AGAGUUUGAUCCUGGCUCAGGAUGAACGCUGGCGGUGUGCCUAACACAUGCAAGUCGAACGAGAUAGCAAUAUCUAGUGGCGAACGGGUGAGUAAUACACAGGAAUUUGCCCCGAACUAGGAAAUACCCAGCCGAAAGGUUGGCUAAUGUCCUAUGGUCUCGCAAGAGUAAAGAUUUAUCGGUUCGGGAGAAGCCUGUGUCCUAUCAGCUAGUUGGUGAGGUAAAAGCUUACCAAGGCGUCGACGGGUAGCUGGUCUGAGAGGAUGGUCAGCCACAAUGGGACUGAAACACGGCCCAUACUCCUACGGGAGGCAGCAGUUGGGAAUCGUACACAAUGGGCGCAAGCCUGAUGUCGCGACACCGCGUGGAGGAUGAAGGCUUUCGGGUCGUAAACUCCUUUUAUAGGGGACGAUGAUGACGGUACCCUAUGAAUAAGCGACGGCUAACUACGUGCCAGCAGCCGCGGUAAUACGUAGGUCGCAAGCGUUAUCCGGAAUUAUUGGGCGUAAAGAAUGCGUAGGUGGUUUGAAAAGUUGCCCGUUAAAUCUUCAGGCUCAACCUGAUUCUCGCGGGCAAGACUUUCAAGCUAGAGUAUAACAGGGGCAAGUGGAAUUCCCGGUGUAGGAGUGAAAUCCGUUGAUAUCGGGAGGAACACCAAUGGCGAAGGCAGCUUGCUAGGUUAAUCUGACACUGAGGCAUGAAAGCGUGGGGAGCGAACGGGAUUAGAUACCCCGGUAGUCCACGCCGUAAACGAUGCAUACUAGCUAUCAGAAGUAUCGACCCUUCUUGUAGCGAAACUAACGCGUUAAGUAUGCCGCCUGGGAAGUACGGUCGCAAGACUAAAACUCAAAGGAAUUGACGGGGGAUCGCACAAGCGGUGGAACAUGAGGUUUAAUUCGACGAUAAGCGGAGAACCUUACCAGGGCUUGACAUCUAGGGAAUCCGCUGGAAACAGUGGAGUGCCGCAAGGAACCCUAAGACAGGUGUUGCACGGUUGUCGUCAGCUCGUGCUGUGAGGUGUGCGGUUAAGUCCGUAAACGAGCGCAACCCUUACUAUGUGUUAUAUAUGUCACAUAGGACUGCCGGUCUUAAACCGGAGGAAGGUGGGGAUGACGUCAAAUCAGCGUGGCCCUUACGCCCUGGGCUACACUCGUGUUACAAUGGCACAGACAAUGGGUUGCUAAGCCGUGAGGCGGAGCCAAUCCCACCAAAAUGUGCCCCAGUUCGGAUUGUAGUCUGAAACUCGACUACAUGAAGCCGGAAUCGCUAGUAACCGUGGAUCAGCUACGCCACGGUGAAUACGUUCUCGAUCCUUGUACACACCGCCCGUCAAGCCAGCCGAGUUGGCAACGCCAGAAGUACGACUUGUCGAACCAAGGUGGGGUCAGCGAGGAGGGCUAAGUCGUAACAAGGUA
Molecule: ribosomal RNA, 1415 nt
Filed under: metagenome
Description: bacterial SSU rRNA
Rfam family: Bacterial small subunit ribosomal RNA
Source: RNAcentral